Gasterosteus aculeatus aculeatus (three-spined stickleback) is the source of this 4712-nucleotide long non-coding RNA. Lineage: Eukaryota; Metazoa; Chordata; Actinopteri; Perciformes; Gasterosteidae. The record is from Ensembl.
GACCAAUACGAAACCCAUAAAAAAAUAUAUUUACAUGAUGUAGAUGAACUUACUACGCCAAAUUAACUGAAUGUAUUUACAGGUGGUUUGACAAAUAUGACUUCUCUGCUGAAUGCGACAUGGUGCUUGAUGGUAAGAUUACUGAUGAUGUGGCGCAGCUAGACAUUGACCAUGAAUCAACCAACAAGGUCUAGGCGUAUCAAUGUCAUCAUGGUCACAAGUCCAGACGGUAUCUUUUUUAUUAAAAACAUGUGCAGACGAAUUGACUCCUGCCUGCUGCACCAUUUUCCAGAGUUCCCUAGACUGUCACACCGUACCAACACAAAGGAAAAAAUCAAUUAUCACACCUGCCUAAGAAACACUGUCCACAGGAGAACAAUGACAUUAGACCUAUUGCUCCAACCUCUAUUGUUGUAAGUGUAUGGAGAAGCUCAUAGUAAGCAAACUGCAACUGGAUAUCAACUUUGUUAACCAGAGGUGUGGUGUAAGACGGGCAGUGUGAAAGGUAUCUGCCGCUGGUGACAGUCUGCGGAUGUACUGUAUGUAUCCUCUAUGUUAUUGUCUGUAUUUUCUAAACAGCUGACACUGCACGUCUCCAAGACAAAUUUCCUUCGGGACAGUAAAAAUCUAUCUAUCUAUGAAGCAACCUUCCCACACAGGGUGGCCGUUGCUGACCUUCCGAUUAAAAUCCCCCAUGCAGACUGCUUUUCGGAAGUACACAUUUGUCCAGUCCAUAAUGAUAUUUUGAAGGGGCAAGUACAAAACUGCGAGAACUCAAAUGAAAUCACCCCCUCACUGUUUACUUUCAGUUUUAAUAUGGGCAACCCUUUAAACAAAAAGUUAGAAGUUUUGCCAUGUGGAGGAUCAACUGUAUUUAUUAAAUGUCACAAACCCUUUUUGAUGCUUAUCAUGGUCAAUAAUUCACAAAGACCCAAAGACAGAGGGUAUGACGCCUCAGUACCUGCUCAGCAGCACCCAUCUGAUAAAGUAAAGUUGGGCAGUGUUACCACUUACCACUUGGUACACUAAUUCAAGCAGCAUGGUUUGUUCUGGGAUGAGAGUAGCCAUAAGUUAUAGUGUACACACACAGGGCAGAUGGAGAGAUAAGAUAGCAUGGGAUAACAGGAUAACAUGAAAACAAGAACAUUUGUUAGUUAAUUUCAAGUCAUGAAUGUUAUGUCUAAAGAGAAAAACUAAAACUAAAGAUUGGCAGUAGUGGCCUGUGGGACUGGAAGUGGAUUGUUGGAUUGAUGGAAGUGAAUUCUUGUGUAAGUAUGGAUUGUUUGUAAUACAGUUUUGGGAGUGCUCGCGUCGAGGAUAGCAACUGGGGGACUCAAGUGUACGACUCAGGAACGGAAGGGUUUUAUUCUUGAGGUGUGGUCGAGAACAGGCAAGGUUUGUUACACAAAAACAGGUGUGAGUCUCAUAAUUUGAAGUCUAUCAUCCAUUGCAUGUGUCCGUUCUCCCUCCUGAUCAUUCUGUAGUCAGUCAGUAUGCUCCCUAGUUAUCUUUAUCAAUAACUGACCCAGCCACACCUACCGGCUUCUGAUCCACAAUCCCAUUUGACAUCUGGACACUGAUUCCUAUCUACUACCUUACUGGGUAGUCACACAUUGUCACUGCAAACGCUUCAAAUACAAAAUGCUUGGUCAGUGGGAUUUAGUGAAGUUACAGUUCAGAAAUAAUUCUUGAUGAUUCAUUUCCUGACGACUGACAUGAAUAAACAACAACAUCACAGUUUGUUUACAGCCCAGUGAGUCACGUACAGUUUGCGAUGCCGAAAAAUCAAAAACAGUAUUUGAGGGGAGGACGGAUGCUAAUUGCCGUCCUUUAUGGAUUUCUCCCAAUUUUCUACCCAAAGAGGGAUUUUUGGGAGUGUUUUCUACUUUCAGGUAGUGAAUGAGCAAAGGAUGUACGACAGCCCUGCAAGGCAAAUAUUUUGAUUUUGGACCAUAUAAAACUGAGUAGAACACAAAUGUUAAAGUGUGAUGAACUGUGAUGAUUUAAGAUGUGUUAUUAUGAGUGUACUAUCUAUUAGAUGAUGGUAUUAUUACAUUACAUAACGUUACAUGUCAUUUAGCGGACGCUUUUAUCCAAAGCGACUUACAAUAAGUGCAUUCAAGCAUAAGGAUACAAACUCAGAAGAACAAGAAACAAGAAAGUGCAAUUCCCUCAAAUAAGCCUAUUUACAAUUUGCUAUAGAUGAGUGGCGUUAUAAGUACAAUGUAAGUGCUACAGUUUGUUAGUGUUUUAGUGGAGGUAAAGUCUGAAGAGGUGUGUCUUUAGUCUGAAGAUUUGAAGGCUCCCUGUGCUCCUGAUGUCUUCAGAGACCUCCUUCCACCAUUUAGGAGCAGGACAGCAAAGAGUGGUGAUCUAGUCCAGUGUUUUGCUCUCAGUGAGGAGGAACAAGCAGUUUAUCAGAUGCAGAGCGGAGAGUGCGGGUCGGGAUGUCGUGUUUGACCAGGUCCUGAAUGUAAGCUGGACCCAAUCCAUCCACAGCAUGGUACGUGAGCACCAGUGUUUAGAACUGGAUGAGCCACCGGUACCAGUGAAGAGAGCGGAGGAGUGGAGGAGUGUGGGAGAAUUUAGGAAGGUUAAAGACCAGUCAAGCUGCUGCAUUCUGGAUGAGCUGCAGAGGUGGAAUGGUGGUAGCAGGAGACCUGCAGGAGAGAGUUACAGUAGUCCAGGCGGUAGAUGACAAGAGCCUGAAUCAGUACCUGCGCUGCCUUCUGAGUGAGAAGGAGUCAGUUGAAGGGAGAGCUGAUAAAACAGGAGGCCAGAGAGGAGGGAGUGAAUAUUGCGACGAACAGGUACAGAGUCAGUUCAUGGGGUCGUUAGUUAUAGACAGUGGAAGACAGUAAGAGAUGAAGAAGUGGUCAGACACAUGAAGUGGAGUUACAGAGAGGUUAGUGGUAGAGCAGUUUCUAGUGAAGAUGUAGUCAAGGUGAUUGCCGGCUUUGUGAGUAGGAGGAGAGGGACUGAGUGACAGAGCGAAAGAAAAAAGUAGGUGUAAGAGGUCAGAUGACUUCUCUGUCUGGAUGUUGAAGUCACCCAGGAGGAUGAGCGGAUGUUAAAGGACAACAAUAUUUAAUUGCACCGGGUGAGUAACUGUUACAGCAUGAAAUUCGAAAGACAGUGGGGGUGGACGGUGGAAGAGGGUAAAGAGAAAAGCUCCAUUUGCGUGAAAUAAGUAGACUUGUGCCACCACCCCUACCAGUGGGUCUGGGUGUGUGGCUGAAGGAGAAGGUGGAGGAGAGAGCGGCUGGGGUGGAUGUUUUCUCAGAUGUGAUCAGGUCUCAGUGAGAGCGAGGAAGUCUAAGCCCAACCCUAACCCUGAUAAAGAGAAGAUCUAGCCCUUCACUUCCUGCCUUGUCCUGUCAUCCCCUGUGAUUGUCUGAUUGUUUCCACCUGUGUCCAAUCACCUGCACCUCCCUAGUGUAUUUAAGCACGUUAUUGUCUGUGGUCCCAGAUGUUUCUAGUUCCUGCUUGCCGUUUUUCCCCUGGUUCUUGAGUGCAUUUUUGCCCCUUGGCCUUUUGCUUUGGACCAUUUGGACUAUUAAAGUCUUCUUUUGUUGCUCAAAGUCUGCGUGUGAGUCCUGCCUUCCACGCCCAACCCUGACAGAAUGACGCGACCACAAAGGGACUCAGCGGACCCGCUGCCAGACUACGGACCUGACUACAUGGAUGUUAGGAGCCCGUUCUGGCAGCGGAAGAUAAACUUUGUAUUAGGUUCCAAGAGUUACCCAGAGAGCUUGUCUCGAGCUCCGGGACCUCCUAAACCCCAGGAGGAGGAGCCCUGGCAAGCGGAAGCAGCGAUCCCCCGUUCCCGCUGGGCCGCAGCGACCUCCCGUUGCCGUUCCCCGACUCGCUCCCCCGACCCCCACCGGUACCGGCCCCUCGACUCCAGGCCCCGACCCCGCCGGUACCGGCCCCUCGACUCCUGACCCCCACUCGGCCUGGUCAGUAUACAUUUAGAAGGAAACUGAUUUGUUAGGUUUACUAUUAUCAUUCCAUUUAAUUACACUGACCUUUAAAAUACUCUUCUUUGUGUGUUUCUAAUUGUAAUUAAAAGAGGGCAAAAUUUACAGUUUGCAAUUCAAACGUAAUUGUAUUUCUUAAAUGUUUUGUGUUACUUAAAAAAAAUAUUACAUUUAUUUCCAACAUAUACCCAAAAGGACAGUAAGGUGUCUCCAAAUGAUUAGCAAGAGAAUAACCAUUACUAUGGGAAAAUAUCAUUUUUGUUUUAGACACCUGGCAAAACUACGUCAGGUUUUAGAAAACAUUCUGUUUUGGGUUCAAAUAAAAGUGUUUGUUAAACAACUUGAGUAACGUGAGAUAAUAAUGUAAGUUAGCUUACUUAUAGUCAUAAGUUAAACUAAAAGUCAACGUACAACCGGGAUUCAGAAGGUUUCCAAUUUUCAGACGAUAUUAAUUUUUCACACAGCGUCAUCCAUGUGCAGGCAGUAAAGAACCCUGAACGCACAGUGGUAGAGCUACUUGUCUCAUGUGUAUUCGGAUGGAGUCAUGGUUACAACGUUAUAACAACAGUUAAUAACCCUCAACUAAAGCUCUUCAUCAAGGUAGAACACCGCAACACACUUUGUUAAACAUAAACAAUUUGAACCGCAAAUAAUUGUACAUUUAUAAAGUUACACUUAGUUAUUUAUUAUUUUUUUUGAAGUUUUUUUUUCUGUUGUGUCUUAGCUCUUUGU